AGAGAAUAAUGGAGCCGCAUGGAAUCCAUCGCAGGAGGUAGAGCAGGAUCGUGACCGUUGCUGUGCCGCGCCGGGGAGUGCAGACCCGUCGGUUGAAGUUUGGCUGGAGUGUCUGGUGGUUAGUUAUCCACUUGAGGGGAGCCUGAAGCCUGGCCCAAGUAAGAGUCCGGACGAAGUCUUCCUUUAGCCAAGGUCGGGGAUGAGGCCCGACUCCCAUAGGGGUCCGGGCGGAGUUUAUCUGCAAUCAAAGUCGGGACAAAGUCCGACUCCCGUA
Molecule: long non-coding RNA, 274 nt
Filed under: Elaeis guineensis (African oil palm)
Lineage: Eukaryota; Viridiplantae; Streptophyta; Magnoliopsida; Arecales; Arecaceae
Description: long non-coding RNA (EGUI_LNC062144)
Source: RNAcentral